RNAcentral lists this ribosomal RNA (468 nucleotides) under uncultured bacterium. RNAcentral's name for it is "partial 16S ribosomal RNA". It matches the Rfam family "Bacterial small subunit ribosomal RNA", at positions 28 to 507 of the family's 1533-position model. The record is from RNAcentral.
GACGAACGCUGGCGGCGUGCUUAACACAUGCAAGUCGAACGGAAAGGCCCUGCUUUUGUGGGGUGCUCGAGUGGCGAACGGGUGCGUAACACGUGAGUAACCUGCCCUUGACUUUGGGAUAACUUCAGGAAACUGGGGCUAAUACCGUAUAGCAGCUCCUGCUGCAUUGUGGGGGUUGGAAAUUUUCGGCGGUUGGGGAUGGACUCGCGGCUUAUCAGCUUGUUGGUGGGGUAGUGGCUUACCAAGGCGUUGACGGGUAGCCGGCCUGAGAGGGUGACCGGCCACAUUGGGACUGAGAUACGGCACAGACUGCAACGGGAGGCAGCAGUGGGAAAUAUUGCACAAUGGGCGGAAGCCGGAUGCAGCAACGCCGCGUGCGGGAUGACGGCCUGCGGGUUGUAAACCGCUUUCGCCUGUGACGAAGCGUGAGUGACGGUAAUGGGUAAAGAAGCACCGGCUAACUACGUG